RNAcentral lists this long non-coding RNA (368 nucleotides) under Spirodela polyrhiza (greater duckweed). RNAcentral's name for it is "long non-coding RNA (SPOL_LNC001587)". Lineage: Eukaryota; Viridiplantae; Streptophyta; Magnoliopsida; Alismatales; Araceae. The record is from RNAcentral.
UGGGAAUUCGUUGCUGGAGACCGGUCUCAUCCGCGAUCGGAGGAGAUCUACGCCACCUUGGAGGAGAUCGGCGUAUUGCUGAAGCUCGCGGCUCAUGCGCAGGAGCGGGAAUCCGUCCUCUACCACGUCUGCAUCGAGGACGAUGAGCAUCUACCGGAUCGAGAUCGAACUCACUACGGUAAGGACCGAAGAGAAGGUACCUGAAUCGAGAUUCAUCACAUCGCGUCCAUGCUCAUCACGACGAACCUCAUCAUCUGCGGAGACUCCACUCCGCACGUCGAUGGAGGGCUACGGCGGUGAACAGUGGACAGAGGAAGACUGAGGCAGGCGCGAUCGCCGCCGGCGGUGGCUCUCCAGUUCAUCCUCAU